CUUCGGGAGGGCGCUUACCACUUUGUGAUUCAUGACUGGGGUGAAGUCGUAACAAGGUAACCGUAGGGGAACCUGCGGUUGGAUCACCUCCUUACCUUAAAGAA
This 104-nucleotide ribosomal RNA is filed under the name Escherichia coli. RNAcentral's name for it is "partial 16S ribosomal RNA". It matches the Rfam family "Bacterial small subunit ribosomal RNA", at positions 1440 to 1533 of the family's 1533-position model. The record is from RNAcentral. RNAcentral also lists the same sequence under 2 other names. Lineage: Bacteria; Pseudomonadati; Pseudomonadota; Gammaproteobacteria; Enterobacterales; Enterobacteriaceae.